CUUUAGAGAGCACAGAGUACUCUCCCAAGCUAAUUGACCAAAGGAUCUCUAGGAAUUAAAUAGGGGGAGCUACAGAACAGGCAGCAUUAGCCAAACAUAUUUGCCGGUGGGACCUAUUUUUCAGGCACAUUGGUAGAAUCUCCCUAAGGAAAAACAGGACACUUGUAAGUUUCCUGAGGCCAUGUGAAACUCUUAAAAUGAUCAGUUCUGAGAUUUAUCAACAAAAGAGUUCAUUGGAGGAAAAUUACUUUUCUUGAAAGAAAGAAGAAGAGAAAGGGGGAGAGGGGACAGGAGUCUUGCUCUAUUGCCCAG
This 312-nucleotide long non-coding RNA is filed under the name Callithrix jacchus (white-tufted-ear marmoset). RNAcentral's name for it is "lncRNA (ENSCJAG00000071001.1)". The record is from RNAcentral. Lineage: Eukaryota; Metazoa; Chordata; Mammalia; Primates; Cebidae.